GCCCGGGUGGCGGAACGGCAGACGCGGAGGUCUCAAAAACCUUUGUCGAAAGACAUGUGGGUUCGAAUCCCACCCCGGGUACCA
RNAcentral lists this transfer RNA (84 nucleotides) under Coriobacteriales bacterium. RNAcentral describes it as "tRNA-Leu". It matches the Rfam family "tRNA". From Rfam's summary of the family: Transfer RNA (tRNA) molecules are approximately 80 nucleotides in length. Their secondary structure includes four short double-helical elements and three loops (D, anti-codon, and T loops). The record is from RNAcentral. Lineage: Bacteria; Bacillati; Actinomycetota; Coriobacteriia; Coriobacteriales.